This 748-nucleotide non-coding RNA is filed under the name Pongo abelii (Sumatran orangutan). The record is from RNAcentral. Lineage: Eukaryota; Metazoa; Chordata; Mammalia; Primates; Hominidae.
UCAUAACUGGAUCUUUCCAUUACUUGGUAGCACACAGGAGGAUUUGUUGGAGUGGUUUUUUGUUUUGUUUUGUUCUGCUACUAUUAAGCAAGAUUGCUUCAUAAUCCUUUAAGGGUUUUUUAGCCAAGUCUUAUUUACAUAUCCUGGCCAGCAAGCCCGUGAUUAACCCAAGGAUGUUGGAGGGAAGGCAGAUGCUACAUCUGAAAAAAAUCUGAUUAUGUUUCAUUCUGGAGACACAAACAGCCGAGCUGUCAAAAGGACAACAGUCUCUUGGGCCAACAUGACACCAAACUCUCAAACUCUGGAGACCCUCAGAGACAAGGAGGAGGAGCUGCUGAGUUCAAACAAGAACAAUGAAUUCCUCAAGUCCAAGCAAGAAUGUGACAAGGUGUCAACAAAGCCAACCAGGAAGGUGAUGUAUGGCCCAUAAAUCACUUCACAAACCAGGGCUGCAAAGAAAGCACUCAGCAACCCAGAGCCCCGAGUGUGAGGUUUUUCUACUCCUAAACCUUCACACCCCCCAUAUCCACCCUCCUCCAGCACCUCGCUGACUGCUCACCUGUCACUCCUCCACUGACCAAUUGGCCUACUCAUGGGCGUCAAGAUGGGAAGGCACAUGUUCCCAUCUUGACAGCAGCAGAAAGAAAAAUGGCAGCAGAAGGAAAACAGCAGCAGAAAGAAAAAUUUGACUCAGAUGGGUUGAGAGGGCAAUGGCAAGCAAUCUUGGUACAUGUCAGCUGCAUCUCAG